AUGGCUCAGGAUGAACGCUAGCGACAGGCCUAACACAUGCAAGUCGAGGGGCAUCGGGGCGAGGAGCAAUCCUUGCCGCCGGCGACCGGCGCACGGGUGAGUAACGCGUAUGCGACCUGCCCGUUGCAGGGGGAUAAUCGGGAGAAAUCCCGUCUAAUACCGCGUAAUGCCGCGGGGCUGCAUGGCCCUGCGGCCAAAGGGAGCGAUUCCGGCAACGGAUGGGCAUGCGUGACAUUAGCUAGUUGGCGGGGCAACGGCCCACCAAGGCGACGAUGUCUAGGGGUUCUGAGAGGAAGGUCCCCCACACUGGUACUGAGACACGGACCAGACUCCUACGGGAGGCAGCAGUGAGGAAUAUUGGUCAAUGGGCGCGAGCCUGAACCAGCCAAGUCGCGUGAGGGAUGACGGCCCUACGGGUUGUAAACCUCUUUUGUCGGGGAGCAAAUUCCGCCACGUGUGGCGGAGUCGAGAGUACCCGAAGAAAAAGCAUCGGCUAACUCCGUGCCAGCAGCCGCGGUAAUACGGAGGAUGCGAGCGUUAUCCGGAUUUAUUGGGUUUAAAGGGUGCGUAGGCGGACUGUCAAGUCAGCGGUAAAAUACGGGGGCUCAACCUCCGCCCGCCGUUGAAACUGACGGUCUUGAGUGGGCGAGAAGUAUGCGGAAUGCGUGGUGUAGCGGUGAAAUGCAUAGAUAUCACGCAGAACUCCGAUUGCGAAGGCAGCAUACCGGCGCCCGACUGACGCUGAAGCACGAAAGCGUGGGUAUCGAACAGGAUUAGAUACCCUGGUAGUCCACGCAGUAAACGAUGAAUACUAGCUGUCCGGGGCGAAUGAGCCCUGGGUGGCACAGCGAAAGCGUUAAGUAUUCCACCUGGGGAGUACGCCGGCAACGGUGAAACUCAAAGGAAUUGACGGGGGCCCGCACAAGCGGAGGAACAUGUGGUUUAAUUCGAUGAUACGCGAGGAACCUUACCCGGGCUCAAACGACACAGGAACGUACCUGAAAGGGUUCGGCUCUACGGAGCCUGUGUCGAGGUGCUGCAUGGUUGUCGUCAGCUCGUGCCGUGAGGUGUCGGCUUAAGUGCCAUAACGAGCGCAACCCCCAUCGACAGUUGCUAACAGGUCAGGCUGAGGACUCUGUCGAGACUGCCGGCGCAAGCUGCGAGGAAGGCGGGGAUGACGUCAAAUCAGCACGGCCCUUACGUCCGGGGCGACACACGUGUUACAAUGGCAGGUACAGCGGGAAGCCACCUGGCGACAGGGAGCGGAACCCGAAAGCCUGUCUCAGUUCGGAUUGGAGUCUGCAACCCGACUCCAUGAAGCUGGAUUCGCUAGUAAUCGCGCAUCAGCCACGGCGCGGUGAAUACGUUCCCGGGCCUUGUACACACCGCCCGUCAAGCCAUGGAAGCCGGGGGUGCCUGAAGUGCGCUGCCGCGAGGAGCGCCCUAGGGUAAAACCUGGUGACUGGGGCUAAGUCGUAACAAGGUA
This 1486-nucleotide ribosomal RNA is filed under the name uncultured bacterium. Its description in RNAcentral is "partial 16S ribosomal RNA". It matches the Rfam family "Bacterial small subunit ribosomal RNA". The record is from RNAcentral.